This 217-nucleotide unclassified non-coding RNA is filed under the name Hevea brasiliensis (rubber tree). The record is from RNAcentral. Lineage: Eukaryota; Viridiplantae; Streptophyta; Magnoliopsida; Malpighiales; Euphorbiaceae.
UCUCCCACUCCUGCACCAUAUCAAAUUCCUCAUUUAGAAUACACAAGUCACAUGUUACUAAAUGUAGAUUGGCAUUCGCAGAAUUAGCAACCUCUAUAUAGUGCAUAAUGGAUAUAAAUAGGUCCAAUUUAAUAUUACAAACAAGUCUUGAAAGAUACAAGAGUUGCUAGUUAUGAAGUCUUACCCUUGCACAUAUAGGACUAUGUGCAUAUUUGCU